This 468-nucleotide ribosomal RNA is filed under the name uncultured bacterium. Its description in RNAcentral is "partial 16S ribosomal RNA". It matches the Rfam family "Bacterial small subunit ribosomal RNA", at positions 28 to 507 of the family's 1533-position model. The record is from RNAcentral.
GACGAACGCUGGCGGCGUGCUUAACACAUGCAAGUCGAACGGAAAGGCCCUGCUUUUGUGGGGUGCUCGAGUGGUGAACGGGGGAGUAACACGUGAGUAACCUGCCCUUGACUUUGGGAUAACUUCAGGAAACUGGGGCUAAUACCGGAUAGGAGCUCCUGCUGCAUGGUGGGGGUUGGAAAGUUUCGGCGGUUGGGGAUGGACUCGCGGCUUAUCAGCUUGUUGGUGGGGUAGUGGCUUACCAAGGCUUUGACGGGUAGCCGGCCUGAGAGGGUGACCGGCCACAUUGGGACUGAGAUACGGCCCAGACUCCUACGGGAGGCAGCAGUGGGGAAUAUUGCACAAUGGGCGGAAGCCUGAUGCAGCAACGCCGCGUGCGGGAUGACGGCCUUCGGGUUGUAAACCGCUUUCGCCUGUGACGAAGCGUGAGUGACGGUAAUGGGUAAAGAAGCACCGGCUAACUACGUG